UUCCCAGGCACUGAAGGGCAUGCAUUUUACAGACAGUGAGUGCAACGUUUUUAUUAUUCCUCCCAUCUACGGCACAUACAUCAAGUGAUGCCCUAUAAAAGAAACAAAUACAUUCGGCAAACGAGGAUUUUAUUUUAUUUUUCUAAUGCCUACUGGUUCAUGAGAGUGAUGAUUAUUGGCACUCUACCUUAUCCCUUUAAAAACUAUAAAAGAAGGCAUGCAGCAAAGUGCACUUUCCAUCUACAAAUAACAAGUCUGAACUGAAUGGUGACCAGCCCUGCAGUUGAAAGAAGGAAGACCAUACCCGCACUCAUAAGGCAUUCUGCAAGAGCAUUUCCCAUCCUCAAAUUUUUCCCACGGUUGGCACUGACUUCCAAGUGAUUGGGCGGUUGUUGGCGUGGCUGAGAAAAAAGUAAAUGCAUGUAUGUUAUCUAUCCAAUAAAGCUUUUUCUUACAUUAUAUUUUAUAGGACUUUUUUGUCCAACAACAGCUGCCACCAUAAUCAACAAGAGAUGGAGGACAGAAAGCUGGACCUCUGCUAUUAAUCAACCUGUAACUGAACUGCUUAGCAUAAACUGCCGAUUGCCGGAUCAGUCCUAAUGUCAUGUGCCUCUGAUGCCGCUGCUUUUCACUAGUCAACAGAGUAACAAAAAUGUCAAGAGCUCUCAGAAUCCCAUUAAUCCCAUAAUGUAUAAUAAACCUUACAAUUCUAAAGUCUGCAGGCUGCAAAAAUAAUUGUACAUUUGUAUUAACGUGAAUUUGAUGGAGACAAUAAAGAUGGAGCGGCCUGACAUUUCA
Molecule: long non-coding RNA, 798 nt
Organism: Xenopus laevis (African clawed frog)
Lineage: Eukaryota; Metazoa; Chordata; Amphibia; Anura; Pipidae
Exons: 2
Source: RefSeq, a predicted model, not a curated record